UGGAUAAGUGAGACUCUACUGUACUAACACUGGAACAAUACAGAGAAGAUUCACACGGCCCCUCCGCAAGGACGACACGCAAAUUCGUGAAGCGUUCCAUUUUUUU
Molecule: small nuclear RNA, 106 nt
Organism: Anolis carolinensis (green anole)
Lineage: Eukaryota; Metazoa; Chordata; Lepidosauria; Squamata; Anolidae
Source: Ensembl